Molecule: non-coding RNA, 45 nt
Organism: Schistosoma mansoni
Lineage: Eukaryota; Metazoa; Platyhelminthes; Trematoda; Strigeidida; Schistosomatidae
Source: Rfam
AUCCAGCUGACGAGUCCCAAAUAGGACGGAAUGCGCGUCCUGGAU